GUGGAGCUUUAGUGAUAGUCUUCCUUAAUUAUUGGAAUUUUUUCUAAUUUUGACCUCAAAUCAGGCAGGAGUACCCGCUGAACUUAA
This 87-nucleotide ribosomal RNA is filed under the name Lipomyces chichibuensis. RNAcentral's name for it is "26S rRNA". The record is from RNAcentral. Lineage: Eukaryota; Fungi; Ascomycota; Lipomycetes; Lipomycetales; Lipomycetaceae.